UACGGAGGGUGCAAGCGUUGUUCGGAUUCGCUGGGCGUAAAGGGUGCGUAGGUGGCUUGGUAAGUUCGAUGUGAAAUCUCCGGGCUUAACCCGGAAAUGGCAUUGAAUACUAUUGAGCUGGAGGUUUGGAGGGGGGACUGGAAUUCUCGGUGUAGCAGUGAAAUGCGUAGAUAUCGAGAGGAACACCAGUGGCGAAGGCGAGUCCCUGGACAACACCUGACACUGAGGCACGAAAGCUAGGGGAGCAAACAGG
This 253-nucleotide ribosomal RNA is filed under the name uncultured bacterium. Its description in RNAcentral is "partial 16S ribosomal RNA". It matches the Rfam family "Bacterial small subunit ribosomal RNA", at positions 524 to 776 of the family's 1533-position model. The record is from RNAcentral.